RNAcentral lists this ribosomal RNA (341 nucleotides) under uncultured Latescibacterota bacterium. Its description in RNAcentral is "bacterial SSU rRNA". It matches the Rfam family "Bacterial small subunit ribosomal RNA", at positions 29 to 351 of the family's 1533-position model. The record is from RNAcentral. Lineage: Bacteria; Pseudomonadati; Candidatus Latescibacterota.
AACGAACGCUGACGGCGUGCUUAACACAUGCAAGUCGCACGAGAAUUUCCGCCUUCGGGUGGAAUAGUAAAGUGGCGCACGGGUGAGUAACACGUGGGAAACCUGCCUUUGAGUGGGGGAUAACAGCCCUAACGGGCUGCUAAUACCGCAUGACGCUGUUGAUCGCAUGGUCGACAGUUGAAGAUGGCCUCUACUUGUAAGCUGUCGCUCAGAGAUGGUCCCGCGUCCUAUUAGCUAGUUGGUGGGGUAACGGCCUACCAAGGCUACGAUGGGUAGCCGGCCUGAGAGGGUGGUCGGCCACACUGGGACUGAGAUACGGCCCAGACUCCUACGGGAGGCUG